GUGCCAGCAGCCGCGGUAAUACGGAGGGUGCAAGCGUUGUCCGGAAUCAUUGGGUGUAAAGGGUGCGUAGGCGGAAGCCUAAGUCGGGGGUGAAAUCCUGCCGCUCAACGGCAGAAUGGCCUUCGAUACUGGGUUUCUUGAGUUCGGAAGAGGUUGGUGGAAUUCGUGGUGUAGCGGUGAAAUGCAUAGAUAUCACGAAGAACACCGGUGGCGAAGGCGGCCAACUGGUCCGAUACUGACGCUGAGGCGCGAAAGCGUGGGGAGCGAACAGGAUUAGAAACCCCAGUAGUCC
This 292-nucleotide ribosomal RNA is filed under the name Salinicola sp. MH3R3-1. Its description in RNAcentral is "partial 16S ribosomal RNA". It matches the Rfam family "Bacterial small subunit ribosomal RNA", at positions 505 to 796 of the family's 1533-position model. Lineage: Bacteria; Pseudomonadati; Pseudomonadota; Gammaproteobacteria; Oceanospirillales; Halomonadaceae. The record is from RNAcentral.